This is a long non-coding RNA of Helianthus annuus (common sunflower), 914 nucleotides long. RefSeq lists it as uncharacterized. The record is from RefSeq and is a predicted model, not a curated record. The transcript has 6 exons. Lineage: Eukaryota; Viridiplantae; Streptophyta; Magnoliopsida; Asterales; Asteraceae.
UGAAAGCUCCAAAGAGGAGGAUGUACUGCAAAAUGCAAAGAAAAAGUAUAUGCAGGAUGCUAAUGUGGAGAUGGCUGAUGCUCCAUCAUCAAAGAAAGCGCCUCAAACUCGGCUGCUCCCCAAACUUCGUUUACGGGCAACUUAACCUUCACUAUUGAAGAAAGUGACGUCAGAAUUAAUUUCUUCAAAGACGCGGCUGAAGUUGUUGAGGUUCGUUAAUAAGGGAUGAUCGAUUUGCAGGCUACGUGCAUGUUGAAUUUGUUACUCGUGAGGCUACCCAAGAGUUAAUGGUGAACCAUUGCUUGACCAUCCAGUAAAACUUGAUUUAGUUAAGUAAAAAGUAAAUACACUCUCGAUACUGGGUAUGAUUCUUUGCCAUCAAGUGUUUUAACACCCAGUUAGAUUCUAACCGACAUUUGACUGAGAAUUCAUAUUUGUUUCUGUAGCAAUGAGAGAUCUUUCCAAAAGAGUGCGCAGACUUCAGCACUAACUGCGUUUAUAAGCGGAAUACUCUUGGGAAACUCUUUGGCCAAUGUGAGGAGGUUUCAAGGAUUUUUCUUCCUAAAGAUUUUGAGUCACGUGAGACAAAAAGAUACGGCAUGAGAGUUAGCUAUUGGUUACAAGUUUACUCCCCACCAUGACAACAGCAAGGGGCAUGAGAAUUAGCCGUUGGUUGCAAGUUUACUCCUCACCGUGACAACAAGGUGGCCAGUUACAAAUUUGCAGCAUUUAAAUGCAGUGAGUGUAUGGACUUGAUGAAAACAACCUAGAAAUAGUUUUUAGUUUAUGUGUAGUCGUUUCUCUUUGUAACUUUUGUGGAUCGGUUUUGAUGAUUAGUUUAUGUUUUUAAUUAGUAUUUAAACCGAAAACUUAUGUAUGGUUUUUGGGUUAUUAUUGUUUACAUCAUUUGUCUU